GACGAACGCUGGCGGCGUGCUUAACACAUGCAAGUCGAACGGAAAGGCCCUGCGUUUGUGGGGUGCACGAGUGGCGAACGGGUGAGUAACACGUGAGUAAACUGCCCUUGACUUUGGGAUAACUUCAGGAAACUGGGGCGAAUACCGGAUAGGAGCUACUGAUGCAUGGUGGGGGUUGGAAAAUUUCGGCGGUGGGGGAUGGACUCGCGGCUUAUGAGCUUGUUGGGGGGGUAGGGGCUUACAAAGGGUUUGAAGGGUAGCCGGCCUUAGAGGGUGACCGGCGUCAUGGGGCCUGCGAUACGGCGCAGACGCCUACGGGAGGCAGUGGGGGGGAAUCUUGCAGAACGGGCGGAAGUCUGAUGCAGCAACGCUCGGUGCGGGAUGAUGGCCUUCGGGGUGUAAACCGCUUUCGCCUGUGAUGAAGCGUGAGUGACGGUAAUGGGUAAAGAAGCACCGGCUAACUACGUG
Molecule: ribosomal RNA, 468 nt
Filed under: uncultured bacterium
Lineage: Bacteria
Description: partial 16S ribosomal RNA
Rfam family: Bacterial small subunit ribosomal RNA
Source: RNAcentral